Molecule: long non-coding RNA, 488 nt
Organism: Mytilus californianus (California mussel)
Lineage: Eukaryota; Metazoa; Mollusca; Bivalvia; Mytilida; Mytilidae
Exons: 4
Source: RefSeq, a predicted model, not a curated record
UUCCUACACGUAUCCAGUAAAAGUAGAUAAGUGUCAAUUGUUAUUGUCAAAGAUAAUGUUUUUUCAACGGAAAGUUGUAUUUUUGCUGAGUUGGUGGUCACUAAUUCAAGCAGGUUCGCCGGUUAACUAUAAAGGUAUGUGUGCUUUCCAUUGUAACAUGCAAGAUAGAGCAUACAUGUAUGAAGGUGAAGGAGAUAUUGUACAUUUCAGUAGUGAUGACCCGACUAGAGCAAUAGUGACAACUAAUAAUGGAAAACUAAAAGAGAUAUUUGAAUGUUUUAUUACGCAGGGACAUUUUUUUGUACUGAGACAGGACAUUCCAGGUAAUGAAACUCAUUCAUUAUAUGCAUGCAGAAAAGAUGCCUUCUAUGAUACAAAAAACGACAUUAGAAUUCUUCAUUUUAGUCCUUGGAGAGUGCUAUCAAACUACCCAUCAUUAUGUGAUGUGUGCAUUGGCAUUGACUUCCAAUCGACACGUGCAUUAAAAG